CAGAGUUGCAAAGACUCCACUAAACCAUUGUGAACCGUACCACAUCUACCGUUGCUUCGGCGGCGGCCCAGCGCCCCCCGGGUCCCCCCGCGGGCGCCCGCCGGAGGGUAUACCAAACUCUUAUAACAGUAGUGCCUCUCUGAGUAUUCUUAUACUGAAUAAGUCA
This 166-nucleotide unclassified non-coding RNA is filed under the name soil metagenome. RNAcentral's name for it is "partial internal transcribed spacer 1". The record is from RNAcentral.